Molecule: ribosomal RNA, 376 nt
Filed under: Bombus pauloensis
Lineage: Eukaryota; Metazoa; Arthropoda; Insecta; Hymenoptera; Apidae
Description: partial 16S ribosomal RNA
Rfam family: Archaeal large subunit ribosomal RNA (bases 247-376)
Source: RNAcentral
GAGAUAUAUACUGUCUCAUAUAUAUUUGAUUAAUUUAAAUUUUUAGUAAAAAUGCUUAAAUAAUUUUAUGGGACGAUAAGACCCUAUAGAAUUUUAUAUUAAUAUUUUAUUAAUUAUUUAAUUAAAAUAUUAAUAUUUAAUUGGGAGGAUUAAUAAAUUUAAAAAACUUUAUUUUAAAAAUAAACUUUGAUUUUAGAAUUAAUUUUUGAUCUUUUAUUAUAAAUCAAAAGAAUAAAUUACCUUAGGGAUAACAGCGUAAUAUCUUUUUAAAGAUCAUAUUUAAAAAGAUGUUUGCGACCUCGAUGUUGAAUUAAGAUAAAUUUUAAACGGAGAAGUUUAAUAAUUAAGUCUGUUCGACUUUUAAAAUCUUACAUGA